Molecule: long non-coding RNA, 764 nt
Filed under: Homo sapiens (human)
Lineage: Eukaryota; Metazoa; Chordata; Mammalia; Primates; Hominidae
Description: non-protein coding lnc-ATXN7L1-2:1
Source: RNAcentral
AGAGGGAGACAGAGUCGCACGGCUGAGACGCCAGGCAGUCGCCUAGCAACAGCGGGACGCGGAGCGAUGGAGACCAGCAGCAGGGAGCUCCAAGCCGCGGAGUAUUUGGAAAAGCAUCAGAUCAAGGAGGUGGUUAGCUACCUCACCAGCGCCCUCCUUUUCUUUCGGCCGGAAAAACCAAAAGAAUAUUUAAUAUCUCUAUUGGAACGACUGAGAAUUGCAAAAGUAACAGGCGUGGCGUUUCCUUUCUUUAUGGAUAACUCUAACAUUGUGGCUAUGUUUGAGAUGAUGGACUCCUCAGGCAGAGGCACCAUAUCAUUUGUGCAGUAUAAAGAAGCCCUAAAAACCCUGGGUCUAUGCACUGAAGAUGAAGAUUUACAAGAUGAUGGACAUAAAAUAACUUUGGAUAAAUUCAAGGAGGAAGUGAACAAGAGGAUGAAGGAAAUAUGAUGUAUACAUCCAGCUUCUCUACAAGCAUUUGCCAGAAAAUUUUAAAUAAGGAGAAACAAAGCUGCUGCUCCAACUGAAGUAAAUGGUCUCGUAACGUCAGCAGCAACGGGCAAGCCGAACUGGACAGGGACAUCACUGCCUGCUCUGACUGAGAUGGCAAGGACAACCAUCUGGAAAAAACACAUUUUUACCAAAAAAUUUUCAUCAGUUUCUAUUUUUCAAGUUUUUAAAUCAUUUUAAAUUUGAGGAAGUGUUCUGUCCUAGGGCAUUUUGGAUAAGAAAAAAUAUACAGCCUAACAUUAAAAGCUCUAUCA